GAUGAAGAACGUAGCGAAAUGCGAUAAGUAAUGUGAAUUGCAGAAUUCAGUGAAUCAUCGAAUCUUUGAACGCACAUUGCGCCCCUUGGUAUUCCGAGGGGCAUGCCUGUUCGAGCGUCAUUAUAACCCUCAAGCUCAGCUUGGUGUUGGGGCCUGCUGCACUGGCAGCCCUUAAAAUCAGUGGCGGCGCCAUCUGGCUCUAAGCGUAGUAAUUCUUCUCGCUAUGGAGUCCUGGUGGAUGCUUGCCAUCAACCCCCAAUUUUUCUAUGGUUGACCUCGGAUCAGGUAGGGAUACCCGCUGAACUUAAGCAUAUCAAUAAGCGAAGGA
RNAcentral lists this unclassified non-coding RNA (328 nucleotides) under soil metagenome. Its description in RNAcentral is "partial contains 5.8S ribosomal RNA, internal transcribed spacer 2, and large subunit ribosomal RNA". The stretch from base 1 to 120 matches the Rfam family "5.8S ribosomal RNA", at positions 35 to 154 of the family's 154-position model. The record is from RNAcentral.